GACGAACGCUGGCGGCGUGCUUAACACAUGCAAGUCGAGCGGUAAGGCCCUUUCGGGGGUACACGAGCGGCGAACGGGUGAGUAACACGUGGGUGACCUGCCCUCAGCUCUGGGAUAAGCCUGGGAAACUGGGUCUAAUACCGGAUAUGACUCCAUGACGCAUGUUGUGGGGUGGAAAGCCUUGUGCGGCUGAGGAUGGGCCCGCGGCCUAUCAGCUUGUUGGUGGGGUGAUGGCCUACCAAGGCGACGACGGGUAGCCGGCCUGAGAGGGCGACCGGCCACACUGGGACUGAGACACGGCCCAGACUCCUACGGGAGGCAGCAGUGGGGAAUCUUGCGCAAUGGGCGAAAGCCUGACGCAGCGACGCCGCGUGAGGGAUGACGGCCU
RNAcentral lists this ribosomal RNA (388 nucleotides) under uncultured bacterium. RNAcentral describes it as "bacterial SSU rRNA". It matches the Rfam family "Bacterial small subunit ribosomal RNA", at positions 28 to 417 of the family's 1533-position model. The record is from RNAcentral.